This 497-nucleotide ribosomal RNA is filed under the name uncultured bacterium. RNAcentral describes it as "partial 16S ribosomal RNA". It matches the Rfam family "Bacterial small subunit ribosomal RNA", at positions 28 to 507 of the family's 1533-position model. The record is from RNAcentral.
GACGAACGCUGGCGGCGUGCCUAAUACAUGCAAGUAGAACGCUGAAGAGAGGAGCUUGCUCUUCUUGGAUGAGUUGCGAACGGGUGAGUAACGCGUAGGUAACCUGCCUGGUAGCGGGGGAUAACUAUUGGAAACGAUAGCUAAUACCGCAUAAAAUGGAUUAUCGCAUGAUAAUCCAUUGAAAGGUGCAAAUGCAUCACUACCAGAUGGACCUGCGUUGUAUUAGCUAGUUGGUGGGGUAACGGCUCACCAAGGCGACGAUACAUAGCCGAACUGAGAGGGUGAUCGGCCACACUGGGACUGAGACACGGCCCAGACUCCUACGGGAGGCAGCAGUAGGGAAUCUUCGGGAAUGGACGGAAGUCUGACCGAGCAACGCCGCGUGAGUGAAGAAGGGUUUCGGAUCGUAAAGCUCUGUUGUAAGAGAAGAACGAGUGUGAGAGUGGAAAGUUCACACUGUGACGGUAUCUUACCAGAAAGGGACGGCUAACUACGUG